Molecule: ribosomal RNA, 477 nt
Filed under: uncultured bacterium
Lineage: Bacteria
Description: partial 16S ribosomal RNA
Rfam family: Bacterial small subunit ribosomal RNA
Source: RNAcentral
GAUUAACGCUGGCGGCGUGCAUAACACAUGCAAGUCGAACGAUGAAACUUAACUGAUUUCUUCGGAAUGAUUUUAAGUGGAUUAGUGGCGGACGGGUGAGUAACGCGUGAGUAACCUGCCUUGGAGAAGGGGAUAGCCUUUGGAAACGAAGAAUAAUACCCUAUGAUAUGAUAAUAUCUCAUGAUUUUAUCAUCAAAGAUUUAUCGCUCUAAGAUGGACUUGCGUCUGAUUAGUUAGUUGGUGAGGUAACAGCUCACCAAGGCAGCGAUCAGUAGCCGGCUUGAGAGAGUGUACGGCCACAUUGGGACUGAGACACGGCCCAGACUCCUACGGGAGGCAGCAGUGGGGAAUUUUGCACAAUGGGGGAAACCCUGAUGCAGCGACGCCGCGUGAUUUAGAAGGCCUUCGGGUUGUAAAAAUCUUUUGUAUGGGAAGAAAAUGACAGUACCAUACGAAUAAGGACCGGCUAAUUACGUG